Salmo salar (Atlantic salmon) is the source of this 54-nucleotide non-coding RNA. The record is from Rfam. NCBI's taxonomy places the organism in Eukaryota, Metazoa, Chordata, Actinopteri, Salmoniformes, Salmonidae.
UGCAUUCACUACUGUAAGUCGCUCUGUAUAAGAGCGUCUGCUAAAUGACUCAAA